AUCAGUCAUUAGCUCGUCCAAACUCUCAUGAAUCCUCAACUCUCCUCUAUUUUUCUGACCAUCAGAAAGAGCCAUGGUUCCAGAGAGUCCAAUAGCUAUAUUUUGUAACCAGAAAAGACAAAAAGAAAAGCAUCAAAAUCAUUUCAUGUAGAAAUAAUAAAGUUAGUGAAAUUCAAAAUACAAACAGCUUUAACAUUUAGUCUUCCAAAACCUAAAACACAAAGGAAAUUUCAAAGUUGUUCAAGAUCCAGCUUCAUAUCCAGAAAACAAAUUUCUGGUCAAGCGAAACAGAAAAUAAGAAUAUAGCUAAGCAAUUACUUCAAUUUUUACUUUUUGUUUGACUACAUAUUAUAAAGCUGAAGGUUUUUUUUUUUUUUUUAAAUCUAUAAGCUACUGCUAACCCCCAUGAAUUCAAUUUGCUAGUGGACUCUCUAAUUGUCAAAAAAGAAAACAAUUGAACAAAAAGGUAUCAUCGCCACAACCUAAAUUUCCAGAGAUCGAGACCUAGAAAUGAAAACGGCUCAAAACAAGCGCACACUAGCAGAAAAAGAAAACUACAGAAGAAGAAACACAUGUCCCAGAUCAUAAUACAUGUUAAAUUGACACCCUCUACUGCUGCGGAAACUAAUAAAAGAACAAAGCAUGAUAGUCAAUCAUAGUCUCAUGCAGUUUAACAUAACCUGAAACUGUAUCACACACAGAAUCCAAACUUUUCACAACAAAAUAACGAAAGAAAACACUUACAUAGAAAAAUAUAAAAAUAGAGAGAAGAUGGUUCGCAGAAGAAGCUGACGAAUGGAG
RNAcentral lists this long non-coding RNA (801 nucleotides) under Vigna radiata. Its description in RNAcentral is "long non-coding RNA (VRAD_LNC013980)". Lineage: Eukaryota; Viridiplantae; Streptophyta; Magnoliopsida; Fabales; Fabaceae. The record is from RNAcentral.